GUACACUCUAAACCCUUUAACGAGGAUCAAUUGGAGGGCAAGUCUGGUGCCAGCAGCCGCGGUAAUUCCAGCUCCAAUAGCGUAUAUUAAAGUUGUUGCGGUUAAAAAGCUCGUAGUCGAAUCUGUGUCCCGCGCCGCCGGUUCAUCGCACGCGGUGUUUAACUGGCGUGUCCGCGGGACGUCCUGCCGGUGGGCUUUACCGCCCGCGAGGGUGGCGGCCCAACUCAAUCAUCCCACCGCGGUGCUCUUCACUGAGUGUCGAGGUGGGCCGGCACGUUUACUUUGAACAAAUUAGAGUGCUUAAAGCAGGCUAAAACUUCGCCUGAAUACCGUGUGCAUGGAAUAAUGGAAUAGGACCUCGGUUCUAUUUUGUUGGUUUUCGGAACCCCGAGGUAAUGAUUAAUAGGAACGGAUGGGGGCAUUCGUAUUGCGACGUUAGAGGUGAAAUUCUUGGAUCGUCGCAAGACGAACAGAAGCGAAAGCAUUUGCCAAAAACGUUUUCAUUGAUCAAGAAC
This 515-nucleotide ribosomal RNA is filed under the name Chrysobothris sp. S130. RNAcentral's name for it is "SSU rRNA". It matches the Rfam family "Eukaryotic small subunit ribosomal RNA", at positions 518 to 984 of the family's 1831-position model. The record is from RNAcentral. Lineage: Eukaryota; Metazoa; Arthropoda; Insecta; Coleoptera; Buprestidae.